This 761-nucleotide ribosomal RNA is filed under the name uncultured bacterium. RNAcentral's name for it is "bacterial SSU rRNA". It matches the Rfam family "Bacterial small subunit ribosomal RNA", at positions 28 to 809 of the family's 1533-position model. The record is from RNAcentral.
GAUGAACGCUGGCGGCGCGCCUAACACAUGCAAGUCGAACGGCACCUAUCUUCGGAUAGAAGCGAGUGGCGAACGGCUGAGUAACACGUGGAGAACCUGCCCCCUCCCCCGGGAUAGCCGCCCGAAAGGACGGGUAAUACCGGAUACCCCCGGGCGCCGCAUGGCGCCCGGGCUAAAGCCCCGACGGGAGGGGAUGGCUCCGCGGCCCAUCAGGUAGACGGCGGGGUGACGGCCCACCGUGCCGACAACGGGUAGCCGGGUUGAGAGACCGACCGGCCAGAUUGGGACUGAGACACGGCCCAGACUCCUACGGGAGGCAGCAGUGGGGAAUCUUGCGCAAUGGGGGGAACCCUGACGCAGCGACGCCGCGUGCGGGACGGAGGCCUUCGGGUCGUAAACCGCUUUCAGCAGGGAAGAGUCAAGACUGUACCUGCAGAAGAAGCCCCGGCUAACUACGUGCCAGCAGCCGCGGUAAUACGUAGGGGGCGAGCGUUAUCCGGAUUCAUUGGGCGUAAAGCGCGCGUAGGCGGCCCGGCAGGCCGGGGGUCGAAGCGGGGGGCUCAACCCCCCGAAGCCCCCGGAACCUCCGCGGCUUGGGUCCGGUAGGGGAGGGUGGAACACCCGGUGUAGCGGUGGAAUGCGCAGAUAUCGGGUGGAACACCGGUGGCGAAGGCGGCCCUCUGGGCCGAGACCGACGCUGAGGCGCGAAAGCUGGGGGAGCGAACAGGAUUAGAUACCCUGGUAGUCCCAGCCGUAAACGC